GUCCCUAUAGUGUAAUCUGGAUUAGCACGUAAGCUUGCGGAGCUUAAGAUCUGGGUUCAAAUCCCAGUAGGGGCA
Molecule: transfer RNA, 75 nt
Filed under: Candidatus Nanoarchaeia archaeon
Lineage: Archaea; Nanobdellati; Nanobdellota; Candidatus Nanoarchaeia
Description: tRNA-Arg
Rfam family: tRNA
About the family: Transfer RNA (tRNA) molecules are approximately 80 nucleotides in length.
Source: RNAcentral